This 190-nucleotide ribosomal RNA is filed under the name Agromyces sp. Root81. RNAcentral describes it as "partial 23S ribosomal RNA". It matches the Rfam family "Bacterial large subunit ribosomal RNA", at positions 2739 to 2925 of the family's 2925-position model. The record is from RNAcentral. Lineage: Bacteria; Bacillati; Actinomycetota; Actinomycetes; Micrococcales; Microbacteriaceae.
CGCUGGUUAGCUACGUUCGGAAUGGAUAACCGCUGAAAGCAUCUAAGCGGGAAGCCGGCCUCGAGAUGAGAUUUCCAUCCCUUCGGGGGAGAGGCUCCCAGCCAGACGACUGGGUUGAUAGGCCGGAUGUGGAAGACAGGACUAACGACUGUCGGAGCUGACCGGUACUAAUAAGCCGAUAACUUGAUAA